RNAcentral lists this transfer RNA (75 nucleotides) under Schistocerca americana (American grasshopper). RNAcentral describes it as "tRNA-Thr". It matches the Rfam family "tRNA". From Rfam's summary of the family: Transfer RNA (tRNA) molecules are approximately 80 nucleotides in length. Their secondary structure includes four short double-helical elements and three loops (D, anti-codon, and T loops). Further hydrogen bonds mediate the characteristic L-shaped molecular structure. tRNAs have two regions of fundamental functional importance: the anti-codon, which is responsible for specific mRNA codon recognition, and the 3' end, to which the tRNAs corresponding amino acid is attached (by aminoacyl-tRNA synthetases). tRNAs cope with the degeneracy of the genetic code in two manners: having more than one tRNA (with a specific anti-codon) for a particular amino acid; and 'wobble' base-pairing, i.e. permitting non-standard base-pairing at the 3rd anti-codon position. Lineage: Eukaryota; Metazoa; Arthropoda; Insecta; Orthoptera; Acrididae. The record is from RNAcentral.
GCCCUCGGUGGCUCAGAUGGAUAGAGCGUCUGCCAUGUAAGCAGGAGAUCCCAGGUUCGAGCCCCGGUCGGGGCA